Molecule: small RNA, 894 nt
Filed under: Pan troglodytes (chimpanzee)
Lineage: Eukaryota; Metazoa; Chordata; Mammalia; Primates; Hominidae
Description: processed transcript
Source: RNAcentral
CCGCCCGACUUGGGGGGAAGGCCCCGAGAUCCGUGCGGGCCCCGGGAGCGGGGGCGCCGGGGCGCCGGCCGGGUCGGGGGAGGCUACGCGGGGCGCUUCGCGGCGCGCCCUGAGCCUCCCGCUCUCCCUCCGCCCUGCAGACAGACCCCGGCUGCCCGACAACUACACGCAGGACACGUGGCGGAAGCUGCACGAGGCGGUGCGGGCCGUGCAGAGCAGCACCUCCAUCAGGUACAACCUCGAGGAGCUCUACCAGGCUGUGGAAAAUCUCUGUUCUCACAAAGUCUCCCCAAUGCUCUACAAGCAACUGCGUCAGGCCUGUGAAGACCACGUCCAGGCACAGAUCCUUCCGUUUAGAGAAGACUCACUAGAUAGUGUUUUAUUUUUAAAGAAGAUUAACACGUGCUGGCAGGACCACUGCAGACAAAUGAUCAUGAUCAGAAGCAUCUUCCUGUUCUUGGACCGCACCUAUGUGCUGCAGAACUCCACGCUGCCCUCCAUCUGCCAAAAUCAUUAACGUGAACGUAGGAGUCCAGGUGGGUCUUAGCCUUGAAACACCAGGUGUCUAGCCAGCAGCAAGGAGUGGAGCAGGAAGCUGGGACAGGCGGCUGACUUUGGUCAUGAGGGUGAAGACAGAGGGUCUUGGUUUCUCUCUGACGACUGGAGGUUGAGCCUGGAGCAGCUCUUUCCAGUGCUGCAGUUGAAACUCUGAGAAAGACUGCCUGCUGCCCGUGGGGUCGCAGCCCUGAGGCUGUGCGUCCCCUGUGGAAUGGCUUGCUCAGCCUCCCGGCCUCCUGAGCACAUAGCACUCAUCAUCCGUCAUCUUUCGGGGACUGUAUACACUAGGGGUUCUGGGGCCUUUCCUCAGCAGCAUUCACAGUCACUGACCCCUAC